UUCGCAAUGCCCGAAAGGGUGACGAAGCGACGCCGCGUGGGUGAGGAAGGCCUUCGGGUUGUAAAGCCCUGUCAGGAGUUAAGAAAUGUAGACUCGCUAAUAUCGGGUCUAUUUGACAAAGGCUCCAAAGGAAGCCACGGCUAACUCUGUGCCAGCAGCCGCGGUAAUACAGAGGUGGCAAGCGUUGUUCGGAAUUAUUGGGCGUAAAGAGCACGUAGGUGGAUUUGUAAGUCAGAUGAGAAAGCCUUCUGUUCAAAGGAAGAACGGCAUCUGAAACUGCAAAUCUUGAGUGUAGGAGGGGAGAGUGGAACUUCUGGUGGAGCGGUGAAGUGCGUAGAUAUCAGAAGGAACGUCGGCGGCGAAAGCGACUCUCUGGCCUAUUACUGACACUGAGUGUGCGAAAGUUAGGGGAGCAAACGGGAUUAGAUACCCCGGUAGUCCUAGCCGUAAACGAUGGGCACUAAGUAGAGGGGUUUU
Molecule: ribosomal RNA, 477 nt
Filed under: uncultured bacterium
Lineage: Bacteria
Description: bacterial SSU rRNA
Rfam family: Bacterial small subunit ribosomal RNA
Source: RNAcentral